CCUACGGGUGGCAGCAGUGGGGAAUAUUGGGCAAUGGGCGCAAGCCUGACCCAGCAACGCCGCGUGAAGGAAGAAGGCUUUCGGGUUGUAAACUUCUUUUGUCAGGGACGAAGCAAGUGACGGUACCUGACGAAUAAGCCACGGCUAACUACGUGCAAGCAGCCGCGGUAAUACGUAGGUGGCAAGCGUUAUCCGGAUUUAUUUGGUGUAAAGGGCGUGUAGGCGGGAAUUCAAGUCAGAUGGUAAAACUAUGGGCUCAACCCAUAGCCUGCAUUUGAAACUGUAUGUCUUGAGUGCUGGAGAGGCAAUCGGAAUUCCUGGUGUAGCGGUGAAAUGCGUAGAUAUACGGAGGAACACCAGUGGCGAAGGCGGAUUGCUGGACAGUAACUGACGCUGAGGCGCGAAAGCGUGGGGAGCAAACAGGAUUAGAUACCCUGGUAGUC
Molecule: ribosomal RNA, 443 nt
Filed under: uncultured bacterium
Lineage: Bacteria
Description: partial 16S ribosomal RNA
Rfam family: Bacterial small subunit ribosomal RNA
Source: RNAcentral